UACGUAGGGGCCGAGCGUUGUCCGGAGUUACUGGGCGUAAAGCGCGCGCAGGCGGCUCGUCAAGCCUGACGUGAAAGCCCCCGGCUCAACCGGGGAGGGUCGUCGGGGACUGGCGGGCUUGAGGUCGGCAGGGGUUGGUGGAAUUCCCGGUGUAGUGGUGAAAUGCGUAGAGAUCGGGAGGAACACCCGUGGCGAAGGCGGCUCUCUGGGACGGUACUGACGCUGAGACGCGAAAGCGUGGGGAGCGAACAGG
RNAcentral lists this ribosomal RNA (253 nucleotides) under uncultured bacterium. RNAcentral's name for it is "partial 16S ribosomal RNA". It matches the Rfam family "Bacterial small subunit ribosomal RNA", at positions 524 to 776 of the family's 1533-position model. The record is from RNAcentral.